UCCGAGUUGUCCCCGGCAGUCUCUUAUGAGUCCCCGGCAUAACCCGCUGGUAACAUAAGACAAGGGUUGCGCUCGUUGCGGGACUUAACCCAACAUCUCACGACACGAGCUGACGACAGCCAUGCAGCACCUGUGCUGGUGUUCCGAAGAAGGGCUCGACUUUCAUCGAGCUUUCACCAGCAUGUCAAACCUAGGUAAGGUUCUUCGCGUUGCCUCGAAUUAAGCAACAUACUCCACCGCUUGUGCGGGCCCCCGUCAAUUCCUUUGAGUUUCAGUCUUGCGACCGUACUCCCCAGGCGGCGAACUUAACGCGUUAGCUUCGAUACUGAGUGCCUAGUUGCACCCAACAUCCAGUUCGCAUCGUUUAGGGCGUGGACUAC
This 380-nucleotide unclassified non-coding RNA is filed under the name uncultured Lysobacterales bacterium. RNAcentral describes it as "uncultured Xanthomonadales bacterium contains 16S-23S intergenic spacer region". The record is from RNAcentral. Lineage: Bacteria; Pseudomonadati; Pseudomonadota; Gammaproteobacteria; Lysobacterales.